CCGUAAACGAUGCUCGCUAGGUGUCAGGUGCGGUGCGACCGCAUUUGGUGCCGUAGUGAAAACUUGAAGCGAGUCACCUGGGAAGUACGGUCGCAAGGCUGAAACUUAAAGGAAUUGGCGGGGGAGCACUACAACGGGUGGAGCCUGCGGUUCAAUUGGAUUCAACGCCGGAAAGCUUACCGGGUCAGACAGCAAUAUGAAGGUCAAGCUAAAGACUUUACCGAAUUCGCUGAGAGGAGGUGCAUGGCCGUCGUCAGUUCGUAUCGUGAGACAUCCUGUUAAGUCAGGCAACGAGCAAGACCCGUGCCCACAGUUGCCAGCAUACCCUCCGGGGUGAUGGGCACACUGUGGGGACCGCCGCUGCUAAAGCGGAGGAAGGCGCGGGCUACGGUAGGUCAGUAUGCCCCGAAUCAUCCGGGCUACACGCGGGCUACAAUGGUUGGGACAAUGGGCACCUACACCGAGAGGUGAUGGUAAUCUCCUAAACCCAGCCUUAGUUCGGAUUGAGGGCUGCAACUCU
This 520-nucleotide ribosomal RNA is filed under the name uncultured methanogenic archaeon. Its description in RNAcentral is "bacterial SSU rRNA". It matches the Rfam family "Archaeal small subunit ribosomal RNA", at positions 751 to 1270 of the family's 1478-position model. The record is from RNAcentral. Lineage: Archaea; Methanobacteriati; Methanobacteriota.